AACACCGAGCCUCUCCAAUGGGCAGAGCGAAUUCAAAUUUUGAUUUUCGUAACCAGCCUCUGUCCUCCUGUCGAAACUUCCUGUUUCUGAGGAACAGAGAUUUUUUACAGAUCCCAGAGGACAUCCAGUAAACCCAACAGCUAUUACAAAAUAAUUCUGGUUUUGAUGAGCUCAGCGGGUAUGAAUCAGAAGCAGGCAGAGUGGCGUUUCCUUUGAAAUAUACCCAAGAUUAAACGUUAGAGGGGGAAGCAAAAAUAUAUUUGGGGAUUUAUUGCCGGCGAGGAAAUAAUUGGCAAUGUUGGCACCUUGGGCCACGUGGAAAUGGUCUUUCCUUCCUUCUGUGUGAGCAGGAACCGCCGUGGGUCCGAACGAGGGGGACACUGCUAUUGCUCACACAGAAGCCAUCUCCUGGCAUCCAGGGGCCCAUCCUCAUGGUUCUCACCUGGGGCUCCUAUUUGUACAAGAGAAUUCCAGGGGGGAGGGUCAUCUUGGUGGGCUGUGGCCUACAGGAGGACCUGGCUUCAAUUCCCUCCGGAGGGAGCCCCGGGAGCUUCGCCCAGAUUAUGGGGAUUGGAGGCAGGGAGACAGCACACAGCUAGGAGUUGCCCAGCCCUUGACUCAGGGAGCCGGGGCUGCGGGACCUGCAGUGGGAUCAGAGAGGGCAUGGCUGAACGGACCAGGCUGGGUGGGCCCCACUUCACAGUGAAGCCUGCCCGUUUUUAGGGGCACCCUGUGCCACUGGCUGUGGCCGAGGAGGAGCUGCUAAAUACCGUGGAAGGCAAGAACUCCCACGACAGCGGAGGCUGAGCUGGGGCUGCAGGGCCAUGCUCGUGCUGCUUGGAGACUCCUCCACUGGGAGCAUAGCUUGCCUGGGCGCCGGGCGCGGAGCUGUGCUCUUUCUGUUCUUUAUUGCCUUGAAUCGUCACACCGGCCUUAAGAAAUGGAUACUCUUACUACCUUUUGCAGGUCUUGCCGAGGAGCCCAGAAGGAAAACCGCCCCUCCAGCAAGAGAGGGACAUUUUGACCCAGUGCCUCUUCCCACUGGUUUUGCAGAUGAGCCCUCCCUCUUCCCACCUGUCCCGCUUGCGCCAGCUUUAGAGAUGACUUCUGCUCUGCUGGGCGCCCUCCGUGACUAACACAGGCAAGUGCGUGGGCCGCCACAUGUCCUGGCCUCUACCCCACCUCCCUGCCCCAUGUCCUCAUCGCUGCCUCGUGGCUUCUGGGGGCAAGGCCUCGGGGAGGUGUGAGGCUGUUCCCCCCACCCCCACCCCGAGCUCCCUGGCGUGGGCGUGGGCUGAUGCAAGCUGGCAGCUUCUGUGACCCCUGCACCAGGUCAGGCCCAGCACCGGGCUUGAGUUUUACCCUCAGGGAGUUGGCAGCUGGGGUGGGGGUAAGCUGUCACAUAUGCAUAAACAGGACGGA
This is a long non-coding RNA of Mirounga angustirostris (Northern elephant seal), 1422 nucleotides long. RefSeq lists it as uncharacterized. The transcript is spliced from 3 exons. The record is from RefSeq and is a predicted model, not a curated record. NCBI's taxonomy places the organism in Eukaryota, Metazoa, Chordata, Mammalia, Carnivora, Phocidae.